AAAAGAAACCAACAGGGAUUGCCCCAGUAACGGCGAGUGAAGCGGCAAGAGCUCAAAUUUGAAAUCUGGCCCCGUCGGGGUCCGAGUUGUAAUUUGCAGAGGAUGCUUCGGGUGCGGCCCCCGUCUAAGUGCCCUGGAACGGGCCGUCAUAGAGGGUGAGAAUCCCGUCUGGGAUGGGUGGCCGCGUCCGUGUGAAGCUCCUUCGACGAGUCGAGUUGUUUGGGAAUGCAGCUCUAAAUGGGUGGUAAAUUUCAUCUAAAGCUAAAUAUUGGCCGGAGACCGAUAGCGCACAAGUAGAGUGAUCGAAAGAUGAAAAGCACUUUGAAAAGAGAGUUAAAUAGCACGUGAAAUUGUUGAAAGGGAAGCGCUUGCGACCAGACUCGCCCGCGGGGGUUCAGCCGGCACUCGUGCCGGUGCACUCCCCCGCGGGCGGGCCAGCGUCGGUUUGGGCGGCCGGUCAAAGGCCCCCGGAAUGUGUCGCCCUUCGGGGCGUCUUAUAGCCGGGGGUGCAAUGCGGCCAGCCCGGACCGAGGACCGCGCUUCGGCAUGGACGCUGGCGUAAUGGUCGUAAGCGGCCCGUCUUGAAACACGGACCAAGGAGUCUAACAUCUACGCGAGUGUUCGGGUGUUAAACCCGUCCGCGCAGUGAAAGCGAACGGAGGUGGGAACCCCUCGCGGGUGCACCAUCGACCGAUCCUGAUGUCUUCGGAUGGAUUUGAGUAAGAGCGUAGCUGUUGGGACCCGAAAGAUGGUGAACUAUGCCUGAAUAGGGCGAAGCCAGAGGAAACUCUGGUGGAGGCUCGCAGCGGUUCUGACGUGCAAAUCGAUCGUCAAAUUUGGGUAUAGGGGCGAAAGACUAAUCGAACCAU
RNAcentral lists this ribosomal RNA (869 nucleotides) under Thermoascus verrucosus. Its description in RNAcentral is "partial large subunit ribosomal RNA". It matches the Rfam family "Eukaryotic large subunit ribosomal RNA", at positions 57 to 943 of the family's 3401-position model. The record is from RNAcentral. Lineage: Eukaryota; Fungi; Ascomycota; Eurotiomycetes; Eurotiales; Thermoascaceae.